AAAACACCAAACUCAGCUAUUAGCUGAUAGGAAAGAGAAAUCUGUACGUCUGGCAGGGGAUGCAAGGUGUUGCUCACCUGGACAUACAGCUAAGUAUGGAAGCUAUACAUUGAUCGAUGUGGACACACAUCAAGUUUUGGACAUCCAGUUGGUGCAGUCAAAUGAAGUGGCCAAUUCGAAUGCCAUGGAACUUGAAGGAUUGAAAGGG
Molecule: long non-coding RNA, 208 nt
Organism: Haliotis rubra (blacklip abalone)
Lineage: Eukaryota; Metazoa; Mollusca; Gastropoda; Lepetellida; Haliotidae
Exons: 3
Source: RefSeq, a predicted model, not a curated record